UGGGGAAUAUUGCACAAUGGGCGCAAGCCCGAUGCAGCAACGCCGCGUGGGGGAUGAAGGCCUUCGGGUUGUAAACCCCUUUUAGCAGGGAAGAAGCGAAAGUGACGGUACCUGCAGAAAAAGCGUCGGCUAACUACGUGCCAGCAGCCGCGGUAAUACGUAGGACGCAAGCGUUGUCCGGAAUUAUUGGGCGUAAAGAGCUCGUAGGCGGUUUGUCGCGUCUGCUGUGAAAUUCCGAGGCUCAACCUCGGACCUGCAGUGGGUACGGGCAAACUAGAGUGUGGUAGGGGAGACUGGAAUUCCUGGUGUAGCGGUGGAAUGCGCAGAUAUCAGGAGGAACACCAAUGGCGAAGGCAGGUCUCUGGGCCACAACUGACGCUGAGGAGCGAAAGCGUGGGGAGCGAACAGGAUUAGAUACCCUGGUAGUCCACGCCGUAAACGGUGGGCACUAGAUGUGGGGACCAUUCCAUGGUUUCCGCGUCGCAGCUAACGCAUUAAGUGCCCCGCCUGGGGAGUACGGCCGCAAGGCUAA
This 532-nucleotide ribosomal RNA is filed under the name uncultured Demequina sp. RNAcentral describes it as "bacterial SSU rRNA". It matches the Rfam family "Bacterial small subunit ribosomal RNA", at positions 355 to 897 of the family's 1533-position model. The record is from RNAcentral. Lineage: Bacteria; Bacillati; Actinomycetota; Actinomycetes; Micrococcales; Demequinaceae.